This 1315-nucleotide ribosomal RNA is filed under the name unidentified marine bacterioplankton. RNAcentral describes it as "bacterial SSU rRNA". It matches the Rfam family "Bacterial small subunit ribosomal RNA", at positions 9 to 1371 of the family's 1533-position model. The record is from RNAcentral.
GAGUUUGAUCAUGGCUCAGGAUGAACGCUGGCGGCGUGCUUAACACAUGCAAGUCGAACGAACCUUCGGGUUAGUGGCGGACGGGUGAGUAACGCGUGAGAAUCUGCCCUCAGGAGGGGGACAACAGCUGGAAACGGCUGCUAAUACCCCAUAUGCCGCGAGGUGAAAUGAAUUUCGCCUGAGGAUGAGCUCGCGUCUGAUUAGCUAGUUGGUGUAGGUAAUGGCUCACCAAGGCAUCGAUCAGUAGCUGGUCUGAGAGGAUGAUCAGCCACACUGGGACUGAGACACGGCCCAGACUCCUACGGGAGGCAGCAGUGGGGAAUUUUCCGCAAUGGGCGAAAGCCUGACGGAGCAACGCCGCGUGAGGGAUGAAGGCCUCUGGGCUGUAAACCUCUUUUAUCAAGGAAGAAGAUCUGACGGUACUUGAUGAAUAAGCCACGGCUAAUUCCGUGCCAGCAGCCGCGGUAAUACGGGAGUGGCAAGCGUUAUCCGGAAUUAUUGGGCGUAAAGCGUCCGCAGGCGGCCCUUCAAGUCUGCUGUUAAAAAGUGGAGCUUAACUCCAUCAUGGCAGUGGAAACUGUUGGGCUUGAGUGUGGUAGGGGCAGAGGGAAUUCCCGGUAUAGCGGUGAAAUGCGUAGAUAUCGGGAAGAACACCAGUGGCGAAGGCGCUCUGCUGGGCCAUCACUGACGCUCAUGGACGAAAGCCAGGGGAGCGAAAGGGAUUAGAUACCCCUGUAGUCCUGGCCGUAAACGAUGAACACUAGGUGUCGGGGGAAUCGACCCCCUCGGUGUCGUAGCCAACGCGUUAAGUGUUCCGCCUGGGGAGUACGCACGCAAGUGUGAAACUCAAAGGAAUUGACGGGGGCCCGCACAAGCGGUGGAGUAUGUGGUUUAAUUCGAUGCAACGCGAAGAACCUUACCAGGGUUUGACAUCCUGCGAAUCUCUUGGAAACAGGAGAGUGCCUUCGGGAACGCAGUGACAGGUGGUGCAUGGCUGUCGUCAGCUCGUGUCGUGAGAUGUUGGGUUAAGUCCCGCAACGAGCGCAACCCACGUCUUUAGUUGCCAGCAUUUAGUUGGGCACUCUAGAGAGACUGCCGGUGAUAAACCGGAGGAAGGUGUGGAUGACGUCAAGUCAUCAUGCCCCUUACAUCCUGGGCUACACACGUACUACAAUGCUACGGACAAAGGGCUGCAAGUUCGCGAGGACAAGCAAAUCCCAUAAACCGUGGCUCAGUUCAGAUCGUAGGCUGCAACUCGCCUACGUGAAGGCGGAAUCGCUAGUAAUCGCAGGUCAGCAUACUGCGGUGAAUACGU